This 495-nucleotide ribosomal RNA is filed under the name uncultured bacterium. RNAcentral's name for it is "partial 16S ribosomal RNA". It matches the Rfam family "Bacterial small subunit ribosomal RNA", at positions 30 to 523 of the family's 1533-position model. The record is from RNAcentral.
AUUGAACGCUGGCGGAAUGCCUUACACAUGCAAGUCGAACGGUAGAGGGGGCAACCCCUCGAGAGUGGCGAACGGGUGAGUAAUAUAUCGGAACGUGCCCAGUCGUGGGGGAUAACGUAGCGAAAGUUACGCUAAUACCGCAUACGAUCUAAGGAUGAAAGCGGGGGAUCGCAAGAGCUCGCGCGAUUGGAGCGGCCGAUAUCAGAUUAGGUAGUUGGUGGGGUAAGGCUCACCAAGCAAACGAUCUGUAGCUGGUCUGAGAGGACGACCAGCCACACUGGAACUGAGACACGGUCCAGACUCCUACGGGAGGCAGCAGUGGGGAAUUUUGGACAAUGGACGCAAGUCUGAUCCAGCCAUUCCGCGUGCAGGAUGAAGGCCCUCGGGUUGUAAACUGCUUUUGUACGGAACGAAAAGGUCUCUCUUAAUACGGGGGACUCAUGACGGUACCGUAAGAAUAAGCACCGGCUAACUACGUGCCAGCCGCCGCGGUAA